CCUACGGGUGGCAGCAGUGGGGGAUAUUGCACAAUGGGGGGAACCGUGAUGCAGCGACGCCGCGUGGGUGAAGAAGGGCCUCGGCGCGUAAAGCCCUGUCAGCAGGGAAGAAAAUGACGGUACCUGAAGAAGAAGCCCCGGCGCACUCCGUGCCAGCAGCCGCGGUAAUACGUAGGGGGCAAGCGUUAUCCGGAUUGACUGGGGGGAACGGGGGCGCAGACGGCGAUGCAAGCCAGGAGGGCAAGCCCGGGGCCCAACCCCGGGACUGCUCUUGGAACGGCGUGGCUGGAGUGCAGGAGGGGCCGGCGGAAUUCCUGGUGUAGCGGUGAAAUGCGUAGAUAUCAGGAGGAACCCCGGUGGCGAAGGCGGCCUGCUGGACUGCAACUGACGUUGAGGCCCGAAAGCGUGGGGAGCAAACAGGAUUAGAUACCCUAGUAGUC
RNAcentral lists this ribosomal RNA (440 nucleotides) under uncultured bacterium. Its description in RNAcentral is "partial 16S ribosomal RNA". It matches the Rfam family "Bacterial small subunit ribosomal RNA", at positions 338 to 795 of the family's 1533-position model. The record is from RNAcentral.